Molecule: ribosomal RNA, 200 nt
Filed under: uncultured Archaeospora
Lineage: Eukaryota; Fungi; Glomeromycota; Glomeromycetes; Archaeosporales; Archaeosporaceae
Description: partial small subunit ribosomal RNA
Rfam family: Eukaryotic small subunit ribosomal RNA
Source: RNAcentral
CCAAUAGCGUAUAUUAAAGUUGUUGCAGUUAAAAAGCUCGUAGUUGAAUUUUAGGCCUGGCCGGGCGGUCCGCUUUGGCGAGUACUGUCCUGUGUCGGGUCCACCUUCUGGUGAACCAGUAUGUCCUUUAUUGGGUGUGCCGGGGAGCCAGGACCAUUACCUUGAAAAAAUUAGAGUGUUUAAAGCAGGCAUUUGCUUGA